GACGAACGCUGGCGGCGGGCUUAACACAUGCAAGUCGAGCGGAGCGGCGGACGGGGGCGUAAUGCCUAGGAAUCGGCCUGGUAGUGGGGGAUAACGUCCGGAAACGGGCGCUAAUACCGCAUACUAUCAGAAGAGCCUAGGUCGGAUUAGCUAGUUGGUGGGGUAAAGGCAUACCAAGGCGACGAUCCGUAACUGGUCUGAGAGGAUGAGCAGUCACACUGGGACUGAGACACGGUCCAGACUCCUACGGGAGGCAGCAGUGGGGAAUAUUGGACAAUGGGCGAAAGCCUGAUCCAGCCAUGCCGCGUGUGUGAAGAAGGUCUUCGGAUUGUAAAGCACUUUAAGUUGGGAGGCGUUACCAACAGAAUAAGCACCGGCUAACUUCGUGCCAGCCGCCGCGGUAAUAC
RNAcentral lists this ribosomal RNA (407 nucleotides) under uncultured bacterium. RNAcentral's name for it is "partial 16S ribosomal RNA". It matches the Rfam family "Bacterial small subunit ribosomal RNA", at positions 28 to 526 of the family's 1533-position model. The record is from RNAcentral.